UGGACUCAUAUAGGGACCAGCCACAGGAGGGAGAGCAUCUCUGGGACCUGGGCUGCUCCUUAAGAGGCAGUGCUGUGUAACCAGAGAGCCCCUUCACCAGCUGGGUGAGUGCAGCUGUUCUUUCUUUCUGUCUAUGGCUGUUGCCCUACCUGUGAGUGCUUUGUCUGAUGUUGCCAAGAACCAUUUGGAAGUCAUUUAGUUUCUUCAUGAGCAGAACAAAGGCCAUGGUUUUCACGGCCACUUGUUGGAUAAUAAAGAGAAAGGGAAACAGUCUGUUCUCUGCUGGGUGGACUACUGAAAACAGCCAAGCACAACGGCUUUCCUUCUGCCUUUCUUUUUCCUUCAUCAAGAUAAACAUAAUAAGCAGCUGAAAAACGUAGGCUGUGCUUACAACAAAAGCUGGGGAUGGGCUACGUGAUCUCUACUGUCCCUUCCAACUCCUAUGACCCUGCGUCCUCAUGGCGGGACGCUGCAGCAGGAGGCAGGGAUGGGCCUGCACAGUUACAGCACUGUAGGGGCUGGGCUGAAGCAGUGACCGUGCUGGAGUGGGAAGUGCUGCAGAGCAAGGCAGGGAGCAAAAGCCCAAAGGAUAGAGCUGUUUAAGGUUGGACCUCGCAUCCAUCUUCAUAUCUUCUGAUAUAAGACAUUGGCCAGCACUGUCAGAGCCAUGCAGAUCCACUUAUCAGCAAGGAACUGACCAUUUACUGGAAGAUAACCUGAGAACUUGGUCGCCUCACCCCAGAGCAAGUCUUCUGACCCUGCUCUGUUUUCUAAUGUGCCCAUGCUCCAUGGUAUCACAGGUCCUGCCUGCAUUGCUAGGGCAGGCCCAGGCUCCAGGCAGGUGAUGGCUGUGCUGGUGGCAGAGUCCUGCAGUGCUCUGGGUGCUCACCAGCAGCUUGCUGCCUGCAGCACCUGCCUUGAAGAGUCUCAUAGUAGUGCAAAAAUGGAGGCCCAGCGCUGGGAAGGAAGUGGUGUGAUUUGUCCCCUGUGCACUUUCUCUGGGACCCUGAUACAGCUCUUCAGUUCCCUGCAAGCCUUUACAGCUCAUGACCUGAUGUUUCUUUUCCUUAAAAAUCUAUCUCCUGGGCCAGUGGUCAUCCAUCCUCCUGCAGGCGUGGCACUGGUAGCAGGACCAACAAGAAGAGGCGAGCAGGUGUGCUGCAGGAGUGCACUUGCUAUCUUUUAUACUUUAUAUUCACUGCAGAGCUGUUAUUGCAGAAGACAUGACUGGCCCUGUAACACACAGCUUGCUGUAACAAGCUUGUAG
This 1267-nucleotide long non-coding RNA is filed under the name Numida meleagris (helmeted guineafowl). RNAcentral describes it as "lncRNA (ENSNMEG00000020007.1)". The record is from RNAcentral. Lineage: Eukaryota; Metazoa; Chordata; Aves; Galliformes; Numididae.